This 253-nucleotide ribosomal RNA is filed under the name uncultured bacterium. RNAcentral's name for it is "partial 16S ribosomal RNA". It matches the Rfam family "Bacterial small subunit ribosomal RNA", at positions 524 to 776 of the family's 1533-position model. The record is from RNAcentral.
UACGAAGGGGGCUAGCGUUGCUCGGAAUCACUGGGCGUAAAGCGCACGUAGGCGGGUUGCUAAGUCGGGGGUGAAAUCCUGGAGCUCAACUCCAGAACUGCCUUCGAUACCGGCGACCUAGAGUCCGGGAGAGGUGAGUGGAACUCCGAGUGUAGAGGUGAAAUUCGUAGAUAUUCGGAAGAACACCAGUGGCGAAGGCGGCUCACUGGCCCGGUACUGACGCUGAGGUGCGAAAGCGUGGGGAGCAAACAGG